This 499-nucleotide ribosomal RNA is filed under the name uncultured Glomeromycotina. RNAcentral describes it as "partial small subunit ribosomal RNA". It matches the Rfam family "Eukaryotic small subunit ribosomal RNA", at positions 591 to 1092 of the family's 1831-position model. The record is from RNAcentral. Lineage: Eukaryota; Fungi; Glomeromycota.
CCAAUAGCGUAUAUUAAAGUUGUUGCAGUUAAAAAGCUCGUAGUUGAAUUUCGGGAUCAAUGUUUCGGUCGUGCCUCGGUACGUACUGGCAUCGUUGGUUUCUCCCUUCUGAAGAACCAUGAUGUCAUUCAUUUGGUGUCGUGGGGAAUCAGGACUGUUACUUUGAAAAAAUUAGAGUGUUUAAAGCAGGCUCACGCUUGAAUACAUUAGCAUGGAAUAAUGAAAUAGGACGUUUGAUUCUAUUUUGUUGGUUUCUAGGAUCGACGUAAUGAUUAAUAGGGAUAGUUGGGGGCAUUAGUAUUCAAUUGUCAGAGGUGAAAUUCUUGGAUUUAUUGAAGACUAACUACUGCGAAAGCAUUUGCCAAGGAUGUUUUCAUUAAUCAAGAACGAAAGUUAGGGGAUCGAAGACGAUCAGAUACCGUCGUAGUCUUAACCAUAAACUAUGCCGACUAGGGAUCGGAUGAUGUUAAUUUUUUAAUGACUCAUUCGGCGCCUUACG